This 305-nucleotide unclassified non-coding RNA is filed under the name uncultured fungus. Its description in RNAcentral is "partial contains small subunit ribosomal RNA, internal transcribed spacer 1, and 5.8S ribosomal RNA". The stretch from base 1 to 73 matches the Rfam family "Eukaryotic small subunit ribosomal RNA", at positions 1759 to 1831 of the family's 1831-position model. The record is from RNAcentral. Lineage: Eukaryota; Fungi.
GCAAACUUGGUCAUUUAGAGGAAGUAAAAGUCGUAACAAGGUUUCCGUAGGUGAACCUGCGGAAGGAUCAUUAGUGAGAGGUGCUGCACCUGGUGCAGUGCUGCCUUGCACACACUUGACGUGCCCAUCCAGCAGGCUUUCAUUGCAUGGGACUGCUGGCUGGUGGAUGAAAUGGCACAGGUUACACAUCCCUUGCAUGCUGGAUUGCUUGCUGGGAUGCUCCUGGGGCCACUAUUGGAGAUUGGCAGUCUGUAAUAACCUUUGACAAUGGAUCUCUUGGCUCUGGCAUCGAUGAAGAACGCAGC